AAACCAGCACCUCAAGUGGUCAGGAUGAUUAUUGGGCCUAAAGCAUCCGUAGCCGGCUCUGUAAGUUUUCGGUUAAAUCCACUAGCUCAACUAGUGGGCUGCCGAAAAUACUGUAGAACUAGGGAGUGGGAGAGGUAGACGGUAUUCGGUAGGAAGGGGUAAAAUCCUUUGAUCUAUUGAGGACCACCUGUGGCGAAGGCGGUCUACCAGAACACGUUCGACGGUGAGGGAUGAAAGCUGGGGGAGCAAACCGGAUUAGAAACCCCGGUAGUCC
Molecule: ribosomal RNA, 274 nt
Filed under: uncultured bacterium
Lineage: Bacteria
Description: partial 16S ribosomal RNA
Rfam family: Archaeal small subunit ribosomal RNA
Source: RNAcentral